UACAGAGGGUGCAAGCGUUAAUCGGAAUUACUGGGCGUAAAGCGCACGUAGGUGGAUAUUUAAGUCGGAAGUGAAAGCCCUGGGCUUAACCUGGGAAUUGCCUCCGAUACUGGCUAUCUAGAGUAUGGUAGAGGAUAGUGGAAUUUCCGGUGUAGCGGUGAAAUGCGUAGAUAUCGGAAGGAACACCAGUGGCGAAAGCGGCUAUCUGGACCAAUACUGACACUUAGGUGCGAAAGCGUGGGGAGCAAACAGG
This 253-nucleotide ribosomal RNA is filed under the name uncultured bacterium. RNAcentral's name for it is "partial 16S ribosomal RNA". It matches the Rfam family "Bacterial small subunit ribosomal RNA", at positions 524 to 776 of the family's 1533-position model. The record is from RNAcentral.